CGAAAUGCGAUAAGUAGUGUGAAUUGCAGAAUUCAGUGAAUCAUCGAAUCUUUGAACGCACAUUGCGCCCCUUGGUAUUCCAUGGGGCAUGCCUGUUCGAGCGUCAUUUGUACCCUCAAGCUCUGCUUGGUGUUGGGUGUUUGUCCCCGUCUCCGCGCGUGGACUCGCCCCAAAGUGAUUGGCAGCCGGCGUACUGGUCCCGGAGCGCAGCACAUGUCGCGCAAACGAGUGCCUUGGUACGGCGGCGUCCAUAAGCCCCUCUCUCAUGCUCUUGACCUCGGAUCAGGUAGGGAUACCCGCUGAACUUAAGC
RNAcentral lists this unclassified non-coding RNA (311 nucleotides) under plant metagenome. Its description in RNAcentral is "partial contains 5.8S ribosomal RNA, internal transcribed spacer 2, and large subunit ribosomal RNA". The stretch from base 1 to 106 matches the Rfam family "5.8S ribosomal RNA", at positions 49 to 154 of the family's 154-position model. The record is from RNAcentral.